CUUGCAUAAACAUAAGAGGUCCAGCCUGCCCAGUGACCAUGUUCAACGGCCGCGGUAUCCUAACCGUGCGAAGGUAGCGUAAUCACUUGUUCUUUAAAUAAGGACUAGUAUGAACGGCAUCACGAAGGUUAUACUGUCUCCUCUUUCUAAUCAGUGAAACUAAUCUCCCCGUGAAGAAGCGGGGAUAAACAUAUAAGACGAGAAGACCCUAUGGAGCUUUAAACUAAAAGGCACUUACCCCAGUAUUCACUAAAUUUCAGAAAACCUACACCACCCAGGCAAGAUGGCCCCCAGUUUUAGGUUGGGGUGACCGCGGAGCAAAAAACAACCUCCGCAUUGAAAGGAACCCACUCCUUAGCCAAGAGCUACACCUCCAAGCACCAACAUAAAGACAUUAAUUGACCCAAUAUUUUGAUCAACGAAC
RNAcentral lists this ribosomal RNA (424 nucleotides) under Hyalinobatrachium taylori group sp. ABGD cluster 23. RNAcentral's name for it is "partial large subunit ribosomal RNA". It matches the Rfam family "Bacterial large subunit ribosomal RNA", at positions 1834 to 2389 of the family's 2925-position model. Lineage: Eukaryota; Metazoa; Chordata; Amphibia; Anura; Centrolenidae. The record is from RNAcentral.